This 188-nucleotide ribosomal RNA is filed under the name Lewinella sp. Its description in RNAcentral is "partial 16S ribosomal RNA". It matches the Rfam family "Bacterial small subunit ribosomal RNA", at positions 1 to 187 of the family's 1533-position model. Lineage: Bacteria; Pseudomonadati; Bacteroidota; Saprospiria; Saprospirales; Lewinellaceae. The record is from RNAcentral.
ACUAUGGAGAGUUUGAUCCUGGCUCAGGAUGAACGCUAGCGGGAGGCUUAAUACAUGCAAGUCGAGGGGUAACAGGGGCUUCGGCCCGCUGACGACCGGCGCACGGGUGAGUAACGCGUACACUACCUACCUUAUACUGAGGGAUAGCCCCGGGAAACUGGGAUUAAUACCUCAUGGUCCAGUAAUGG